CAUCCUUACAGGUUUCCUCUCUGUCAAGCAGCCUGACCCAAAUCAUUACCAUUUCCAAGGCAUAAUCCAACCCAAAAAUAACUUUUUAGCACACCACACUCAGACUUUGGACCAGUCUUCAUAUGGAUCACCUUAACUCCUCUGAAUGAAUGAUCAAGAAUCUAUACACAGUCUGUGAAUGCUGCAACUCCAAGCCCUCAUCUUUUAAAGGCCGCCCCUUCCAGACUGUUCAAGGCAACCACAAGCCCAUCUCCGGACCGCUCCUUUUAUUGUCUCCAUCAUUUUAUAUCAUUUAGAGUCACUCUCAUUCUUAUCUAGAUAUUUCAAUUACAUGGCUUCUUUGCCACAAUGUAAUUUAUUGAAUCACUGGUUUGCGGAGUAUUAUUGGUCUGCUAUGUUUCUGGGAAGGUUUCGCUGAGCACAGAAACUCCUGUUUUUUUUGUUUGUUUUUUUUUUCCAUGGAAGGAAAUGAAGCUGAUAUUUUUCUAUGGUUCAAUAACUCAAUUUUUUUUUAAAUCACAAACAUUGUUUGUGAUAAAAAAAAAAACAACAACAAUACAAUUCUGCACAUACACCAUGCCUAUCUUUUUAACUAAACUUCCAAAUGUAUAAUAUGGACUGUUGGGAAAAUAUGUUAAAAAUAUUGAAGUUGUUAAUGUGCAAAAUUUACAGAUGUAAAGAGUAACAUGCAACAUGUAAGAGUCCUUACGACUGACAGGUGCUAUCCAUCACCAUACUUAUAUUGUAUUGUACUGUAUAACCUCAGUAAAAGUUACAAAGUUCAAUGACAA
This is a long non-coding RNA of Poecilia latipinna (sailfin molly), 791 nucleotides long. RefSeq lists it as uncharacterized. The record is from RefSeq and is a predicted model, not a curated record. NCBI's taxonomy places the organism in Eukaryota, Metazoa, Chordata, Actinopteri, Cyprinodontiformes, Poeciliidae. The transcript has 3 exons.